GUCAGUUUUUAAUAUUCUCUUUUUUCCAUUUACUAAUUUUAUUGUUUGUAUUUGGAGCACAGUUUUUAUUUUAUGUCUAUGCUGUGUGUCUUACUAUUGAGCUACAUGAUUAUAUUUUCUCUUUUACUAAUAUCAGUAGGAUGUGGAUGUUAUUUAUACAUGUCUUUUUCCUUAUUAUUUAUCAGUCUGUCUAGAGGUUAUCAAUUGUAAAAAAAUAAACCAGCUUUUAGUUUCAUCUUUUUUUCUAUUUUUUAAACUUUUAAUAUAAUUGAUUUAUUUUCUACUCUUUAUUAUUUUCUUCCUUCUAUUUGCUUUGGGUUUAAUUUGCUUUUCUUUCUCUAGUGUCCUAAUGUAAGUAUUUAAUGUUAGUAUCACAAUGAAAUCUUCAGGCAAUAUUUUCUCACUGCAUUUAUUUGUCUGAAAAAGUAUUUCACCUUCAUUGCUGAAAGAUAUUUUCUCUAGGUAUGGAGAUCUGGGUUGACAGGCUUUUUUAUUUCUUUCAAAAAUUUAAAGCUGUGAUUCCAAUAUCUUCUGACUUGUAGGCUUUCCGACGAGAAGGUGACUGUAAUUUUUGUCUUUGUUUCUCUGUAAUGUGAUGUGUCUUUUCACUGGCUGCCUUCAAAAUUGUCUUUUUAUGUUUUUCAGCCCUUUGAAUAGGAUAUGUCUAGGCAUAUGAUAUUUUUCAGUCUUGCUUUGCAAUCGCUUAGCCUCUUGAAUCUUUUUUAAAUGUCUUUCAUUAUUUUUGGAAAAUUUAUCUUUUCAAAUAUCUCUCUCGUUUUGUGCUCUCUCCUCCUUCUGGGUCUUCAAUUACAAGUAUUUAGAUGAUUUGAAAUUGUCACACAGCUUUUUGAUGCUCCGUUCUGUUUGUAUUCAUUCUUUUUUUCUCUGUCUUUAAGCUUUGGUGAUGCCUGUUGACCCAUCUUCAAGUUCAUGAUUCUUUCCUUAGCCAGGCCAAGUCCAUUGUUGAACCUGCUGAAGGAAUCCUUCAAAGGAUCUUUUAUUAUGCCCUAGGGCUGACCAGCUUUAUUUUUCUGCUUGAAGCAUUUGCUUCUCUAUGAGACAAGGGAUCAGGCAGGGAAGAAGGGUUUUUAUUUUUCCUGCAAUGGCAGCUACUCCCUCCUCCAUGCCUUCAUCAGCAGAGGAGGUCCUCCUGUCUCUUAUCCUGUUCUCUUGAACAGCCACUGGAGAUCUAUGGAAAAGAGCUUAAAGGCCAUGUGAAGACACGGUGAGAAGACGGCCAUCUGAAAGUCAGGAGGAGUAUCCUCUUGAGAACUGAAUCAAGCUAGUACUUUGAUCUUGGACUUCCAGCCUCCAGAACUGCAGUGUUGGUCUGCAAGCUUCAAGAGCCAGUGACCCUGACUGCCAAGUGAUUUGCCGAAGGGAAUUAUGGUUUUGCAUUUGAUGGUUUCCAGGAACUGCUAAGAGUGAGAUCAUCCCUGAAGCAGUGACUGCCAGAGGAAGGCGAGAGACAUAUGGUGGCCUUACAGCCAUGUGAAGUGCCUCACUCCCUGUUCACCUUCCACCAUGAUUUUAAGUUCUGUGAGGCCUCCCUAGAAGCUGAUGCCACCAUGUUUCCUGUACAACCUGCAGAAUGGUGCUUCAUGGAGAGAGUUUGUCGCUUUUUUGUCCUUUUGCCUUCUGCCACAUAAGGACACGGAAUUCCUCUCCAGAAGUAGCAGUUAAGAGGCCUUCUUGGAAGCAGAGACCAACUGCUUAGAAACAGAGACCUCACCAGACAACAAACCUGCCAGCACCUGUGCCUUGAUCUCAAACUUUGCAGCCCCAGAACGAUUAUUUCUGUCUGGUGAAACUAAUCAUUCCAGAGUUCUUCAGCUUUUGGACUCUUGGACUUACAACAGUGGUUUGCAAG
This 1870-nucleotide long non-coding RNA is filed under the name Homo sapiens (human). RNAcentral's name for it is "HSALNT0079963". Lineage: Eukaryota; Metazoa; Chordata; Mammalia; Primates; Hominidae. The record is from RNAcentral.